Ornithorhynchus anatinus (platypus) is the source of this 138-nucleotide small nucleolar RNA. Lineage: Eukaryota; Metazoa; Chordata; Mammalia; Monotremata; Ornithorhynchidae. The record is from RefSeq and is a predicted model, not a curated record.
CCCCUCUCAGGAUGGCACCUGGAGAGUUUCCAGUCCUCUACCAGGCUCGGCUAUGGGAGGGAGAAUCAAGCAAAGACCUACCCUUUCCAUUCCUAGCUUGGGCAGUGGCUAGUGAGUGGAAGGCAACCUGCUACAAGU